This 3441-nucleotide long non-coding RNA is filed under the name Coffea arabica (coffee). RNAcentral's name for it is "long non-coding RNA (CARA_LNC002621)". Lineage: Eukaryota; Viridiplantae; Streptophyta; Magnoliopsida; Gentianales; Rubiaceae. The record is from RNAcentral.
UGUUGAGUCACUCUUUGAUUUCUUUUGCUUCGUGUCCACUUCGUGCAUUACUUGUUGUGUGAUUCUGUCUAGAAGCCUGCCUUCAAGUGUAGCCGUGUUUUGUUCGUUGCAUAUUCUGUUUAAAUAUCAAAAAAAAAAAAAAAAAUUCGCGACGGCUAGGGUUUUCACUUGCAACUAGGGUUUCCUUGGGUGCAAGUUUCUUGCCAAAUCUGUCCAAACUUUAGUUUAUUCCACCAAGUUGUUUUCAUUAAUUUCCUAAACUGAUUUUUGUGGUUAAACUUGUUUGGGGUUGGAAUCUUGAAGAGGAACUACAAUAAUCUAGGGAUUCUUGAGUUUCUUGAAACUAAUCUUGAAGUCUCAAAAUCUUGAUACAUGUUUUGAUAGUUAUUGGAGGAUUGAAGGAGAACAUUGGUUUGACAUUAAAUUCUGGAAUUUUACCCAAGAACAGCCGAGUAAUUGUGUGUUCUUAGAGUCAAAAAAAAAAAAACAGAAAAAAAGAAAAAGAGAAAGGGCACUCGGGUAGCAAACAACAAAGAAGGAAGCCGCACUUUUAUUUGCCAAAUUCUGUCUUGUUGCAAUUGUUUCAACAAACCAGAAAAUUACAUCAAGAAAAAGACUACUCAAAAGUUUUGACCAACCUCCUCUUGAAAAUCUUGCACACCUUGAGCCUUGAUCACUUGUAUCACCCGUUGAGUCUUUUGAGGAUCUUGACCAUCUUGAUUCUUGAAGAUUUGCACUUCCCUACGUAUAAACAGUUUCUUGUACGUCCUUGCAUCCAUACGGGGCUUUCUUGGCUUAGGAGUAAACCUCUUGGAGUUUCUUGAGCAGGCCGCUUGGGGUAUUCUUGGGUGACGUUGCUUGUGUCAUCUUGUGAAGCCAUUGUUAGCACCAAGCGUCAAAACUGUCCUUGUGUGGAGCAAAGAGGGGAGGGCCGAAUUGUUGUUCUUGAGGGAGAGUAAGGGACGAAAAUUUUGAGGGGAUUUAAGAAGAGGUAAUUCUGGAAAAUUUUGGGGUUAGGAAGCUACCAAAUCUGGAAAAUUUUUUAGGAAAUUCCAGCCGACUUUGAGGGGAAUUUAAGAAGACAAGAAAUCUGGAAUUUUUUUCGUGGAAGCUAUUCUGAUUUGAUAAGGUAACAAAUCUGGAAAUUUUCAGCGGUUAGGAAGCUACCAAAUUCUGUUUUGCAGCCGACUUUGGAAGGUUUAAAAGGAGCAGAAAUCUGGAAAUUUUUUUAGCUACCAAAUUCUGUUUUGCAGCCGACUUUGGGAGGUUUCAAAAGAGAAGGAAAUCUGGAAUUUUUUUUGGGAACAAUUCUGAUUUGUUAUAGCGACUUUAGGAAGGUUUUUGGAGAGGGAAUCUGGAAAAAUUUUGGAAGGUUUUUGGAGAGGGAAUCUGGAAAAAUUUUGGUAAUAAUUCUGUUUGGUUAGCCGACUUUAAGGAAAUUUCCAAAUAAGUCCAACACCUAACUUGUUUCCAAAAAUCAAUUGGGCAAUUAAGUAAAGCACUUGGGAACUCCAUCAUCGUACUUGGACUUUCUUUUUCUUUGUACAUCAAUUCUUUCCUCUUCCAUUCCUUAUUCAUUACUUGAGCUUUCCAUUUCUACUUUUUGUUUCCUUGUUCCUUUGAUACAAUUGGGAGCUAUUUUGAUUAAAGUUUGAUUGAACUUCCUUGAGAAAAUUUCUGAUUUCUUCAAAGGAAACAAACAAGUGGUUUGAGAAGUGAAUUGGUGAGAGCAUUAGAGUGCCAUACACACUUGAGUGAAAACACGAGAGGAGUGAAACACUUAAGGGAGCAAGUGAGGCAUUUUCUACUAACAAUUUGUCAAGUUUUGCAGGUUUCACCAUGUCUCAGGAACAUGAAAUUACCAUUGCUCAGUUAUCACUUAAAAUGGAUAAUAUGUGGAAGGAAAUGCAGAGGAGAUUUGACCAAAGGUUGGAAACAAUCCAUGAGCAAAUUGAUCAACUAAGUUCGUCUAGGGCUUCUUCUAGGAAAUCUAGGGGAAAAUCACCCUGGGGGAAUCUAGUGACUCCAAUGCCGAUUCGGAACAUGAGGCAUACGAGCAAAGAAGACCAAAGCGAAACACAAGAGCAAUCGGUGAUGCCAUCAAGGGGAUUAAGAUGAAGAUUCCUCCUUUCCAAGGCAAAUCUGAUCCGGAUACAUACCUUGAAUGGGAAAGUCGAGUGGAGCUAGUAUUCGAUUGUAAUGACUACACCGAUGCACAAAAAUUGAGACUUGCCGUAGUAGAAUUCACCGACUAUGCCAUAGUUUGGUGGGAACAAGUGGUUACAAGCAGGAGAAGGUGUGGAGAACCACCUAUAACCACUUGGACUGAGCUCAAGAGACUGAUGAAGAAGCGAUUUGUACCAAGUCACUACCAUAGAGACUUGUACCAAAAACUUCAAACCUUGACACAAGGUCAACGCUCAGUUGAGGACUACUACAAGGACAUGGAAAUCUCCAUGUUGAGAGCUGAUAUUCAAGAAGAUAGAGAGGCUACAAUGGCAAGAUUUCUCAAUGGUCUGAGGGUCGAAAUAGCCGAUCAACUGGAGCUUCAAUACUAUGUGGAGAUAGAAGAUAUGGUGGAGAAGGCUAUCAAGAUUGAGCAAAGGCUCAAGAGGAGGGGUACAACCAGAAAUUCUAACCCUCAUCCACAAACAUUUACUCGACCAUUCCAGCCUAGCAGGGAAGAGAGAGGUUCGAAUACUUGGACCACUCCAAAGCCGAAGCAAGAUCAAGGGUCAAGCUCACGGCCACCUUUUACUAAAGCCGACUCCAAGGUUGUUUCAAAACCAACAAUUGAAACUUCAAAACCUAGGAAUCGUGACACCAAAUGUUGGAGGUGUCAAGGAAUUGGGCACAUUGCAAGCCAAUGUCCAAAUCCAAGAACCAUGCUUGUGCUACCAAAUGGAGACAUUGUCACUGAUGAUGAAGAGGAGGAGUACAAAGACAUGCCUUCCUUGGUUGAUAAGGAUUAAAGCAAACACCGGCCAACAACAAAUUGCAGCGAAAAAUAGGGAAAAAAACCAUACGAAGCAAAACGCACCAGUAAAAGAAGCUCGGCGAGACCGGAAAAUAGCACUAAGAAGACGUAACCAAGUUCGCAACCAAGCUGGCCAGAGAAGGCGGUGAGAGGAAGGAGCUCAUAAAGGGGAGCCGGUUCAAGGGCACAACCAAUUUGAGAAAAUCGAAAUGAGAAAGCAGAUGAGAAAACCCUAGGAAAAAGGGGCACAGCCAACCCGUCUUGGAACUCGGACGCCAGCGGAAGAGACAGCCAUGAUAUAUCACGCCAAUUACCAUUCUUGAGAAAGGUCUGCUGUUACCUCCGGACAAUGCAGCUGGGAGAGUCGGGAAAGGAAAGAAACUGGUACGGCAUCCAUUCCAAAGCAGAAAACUCAUGGGCAGCCCAAUUACCCGAAUCAUUUCAAUGGAGCAUCUGGAGAAGCG